AGAGUUUGAUCAUGGCUCAGAUUGAACGCUGGCGGAAUGCUUUACACAUGCAAGUCGAACGGCAGCAUAGGUGCUUGCACCUGAUGGCGAGUGGCGAACGGGUGAGUAAUACAUCGGAACGUGCCCAGUCGUGGGGGAUAACGUAGCGAAAGUUACGCUAAUACCGCAUACGAUCUACGGAUGAAAGCGGGGGACCGUAAGGCCUCGCGCGAUUGGAGCGGCCGAUGUUAGAUUAGCUAGUUGGUGGGGUAAAGGCCUACCAAGGCGACGAUCGGUAGCCGAACUGAGAGGUUGAUCGGCCACAUUGGGACUGAGACACGGCCCAGACUCCUACGGGAGGCAGCAGUGGGGAAUAUUGCGCAAUGGGGGAAACCCUGACGCAGCAACGCCGCGCGAAGGAUGAAGGUUUUCGGAUUGUAAACUUCUUUGAUGGGGGACGAAAAAAAUGACGGUACCCCAAAAACAAGCCACGGCUAACUACGUGCCAGCAGCCGCGGUAAU
RNAcentral lists this ribosomal RNA (501 nucleotides) under uncultured bacterium. RNAcentral describes it as "bacterial SSU rRNA". It matches the Rfam family "Bacterial small subunit ribosomal RNA", at positions 8 to 524 of the family's 1533-position model. The record is from RNAcentral.